GUCUGCUGAUGCUGACUAACUCUUAUACUACGGAUUCUCUUACUGCAACAUAAUAACCUCUAUCUACCGACGUCAAGUCAAUCACUUCUCUCUAUGAAGCAUAAUAUCUAAUUGCCCGAACUCUCCUUUCAGAUGAAACUAGACAUGUUUCUUGGGCCGAAUCCAACUAGAAUAUUAAUUUCACUGAUUCACCCUCUCGCA
This 201-nucleotide long non-coding RNA is filed under the name Musa acuminata (dwarf banana). RNAcentral describes it as "long non-coding RNA (MACU_LNC007814)". The record is from RNAcentral. Lineage: Eukaryota; Viridiplantae; Streptophyta; Magnoliopsida; Zingiberales; Musaceae.